UCAAAGACCUUUGUGUUCAUUUCCAUA
This 27-nucleotide non-coding RNA is filed under the name Mus musculus (house mouse). Lineage: Eukaryota; Metazoa; Chordata; Mammalia; Rodentia; Muridae. The record is from RNAcentral.